ACAGUGCCAGGGGCUUCCAGACAUCUGCGAGUACUCACACCUGGGCUCCUGGAGAAGUCUCCCCAUCUGGACCAGCCACGGGGCCACACAUUACCUCAAGAAUGGGUCACACCAUGAAGGGGCCCAUCCAUCAACAGUGUCCUCUGGGCUCCCAGCUCGUUUUCCCACACUCGUAUGCACAGUGAGUUUGAAUUAAACGUGUUACACUAGCCUGCCUGGGAGACCCAGACCUAGGCAUACCUGGCGCUCUUGACCCCAAAUUCCAAUGAGGACUGGCCCCCAGGGGUCCUCACUGACCUGCUGCCUCCCAGACAGCAGGCCCAAAGAUGGAUAACCACCCCCGGCUGAGUCACACUCGAUCGUGCGCUGGCUUUUCCCGGGUGGAGAAACCGCAGAGAACUGCUCCAAUGUGGUCAUGUUCUAAACGAUGACCCUUGUACCUGCCUGCUAAGGGCCACCGACCUUGACCUGCCUUGGAGGACGAGGAUGGGUGCGCAGACCAGCCGCUUCCUGUCUGAGGCCACAGAGCAGACGCCACCCCACUGUACAAUCUAAUUUGCUGGACAAACUUGCUGGUCUCCUCUGCUUAGCAACACGCCUACAGUUGGCACAUCUGCGUUUUGGCAUCCGAGGCUCACCUCUGAGAGGAGAAAGUGUUGUGUUUAUUAGAAAGGAAGUCUUGUGAAAACAACUCGGUGCUGCCGGCGUUCAUGGAUUUUUCUGGUAGAAUGGCCGGCAUGGUUACUGAGGGGGUGGAGAUUCUCUAAUGUGCUCAAGCAAACCAUCUUUUCGAUUAAAUGAUUGUGCUAAAAAGAAAGAAAGGCAAUAGAAAGGAAUUGGAUAAAAAGAGUAACUAUCUUCUUCAACCUUCGUUCACUUAUUUACUAAUUAAGUCAAAUCAGGAAGUAUGAUUUUUGACAUCGCCUGGGGAAUUUCUGAAUUUGUAAGGGAAUCCCUUGCUCCCAUAGUAAUGCCGUCAUGUUAAUACACCUGCUCUCCAUGAACAAUAAGUCUACAUGACCGAUUCCUUUAAAACAUGUGUUACUUCCUGGAAUGAAUCUAUUAUUAUAAGUAAUCUUUUGAUCCAAUACCAGCGGUAUAAAUAAUACUUUUGCUCUUCCUAA
Long non-coding RNA from Tupaia belangeri chinensis (Chinese tree shrew), 1124 nucleotides. RefSeq lists it as uncharacterized. The record is from RefSeq and is a predicted model, not a curated record. NCBI's taxonomy places the organism in Eukaryota, Metazoa, Chordata, Mammalia, Scandentia, Tupaiidae. The transcript is spliced from 2 exons.